GUGAGGAAUAUUGGUCAAUGGGCGAGAGCCUGAACCAGCCAAGUCGCGUGAAGGAAGAAGGAUCUAUGGUUCGUAAACUUCUUUUGCAGGGGAAUAAAGUGCGGGACGUGUCCUGUUUUGUAUGUACCCUGAGAAUAAGGAUCGGCUAACUCCGUGCCAGCAGCCGCGGUAAUACGGAGGAUCCGAGCGUUAUCCGGAUUUAUUGGGUUUAAAGGGUGCGUAGGUGGUUUGAUAAGUCAGCGGUGAAAGUUUGCAGCUUAACUGUAAAAAUGCCGUUGAAACUGUCGGACUUGAGUGUAAAUGAGGUAGGCGGAAUGCGUGGUGUAGCGGUGAAAUGCAUAGAUAUCACGCAGAACUCCGAUUGCGAAGGCAGCUUACUAAGCUACAACUGACACUGAAGCACGAAAGCGUGGGGAUCAAACAGGAUUAGAAACCCGGGUAUCC
RNAcentral lists this ribosomal RNA (444 nucleotides) under uncultured bacterium. Its description in RNAcentral is "partial 16S ribosomal RNA". It matches the Rfam family "Bacterial small subunit ribosomal RNA", at positions 354 to 795 of the family's 1533-position model. The record is from RNAcentral.